GCAGUGCACGGCAGCACACAUCAGGAUGAUGCGCUCAGGGAUACCAGGAGGGUUAUGAGCGAUGGAAUGGAAAAGGGUCAGGGAUGCGGCCAGACAGGGAUAAGGAAUAGCUCAGGAGUUGAGCAGGCGCGGGAUUAACCGGGAUGUUACGAGCCGAAAAGGAUUUAAAACAUGAUUCCUUCUUAUGAAGGUAUGAAAUAAGGCGACAGCUUGAGCUGUCGCCUUUUUUCUUUGUCUACUU
RNAcentral lists this small RNA (241 nucleotides) under Pantoea agglomerans. The record is from RNAcentral. RNAcentral also lists the same sequence under 1 other name. Lineage: Bacteria; Pseudomonadati; Pseudomonadota; Gammaproteobacteria; Enterobacterales; Erwiniaceae.